GUGUUAUGUUUUGUUUUACUAGGAAAUGGAGGUGGUCUCCGGUCCUCGGUGGACUUGUGAUACCCUUCACGGCCAGGCCUUAGUUCAAGUCAUGAAAACUAGUUUAUUCAAUGGAUUUUGGCUUACGUACUUGGGAUAUUGGUUUGAAUUGAAAUACUCAUUUGUUUGGUUGUGAGAAUUUUAUCCUAAUAUCAUAUUCAUUCAAGAAAUAUUGGUAGCACUAUCGAAAUACUGGAAACACUAACAUUUUCUAAUAGAAAUGUGACAUUUUUAAAAACCCUCAAUCGAUGUAUUUGCCGGAGAGGAGUUAUGGAUAUUAAAUUGGUCAUUGGACUGUAAAUGGGUUGACGAACCCCCCAUGGGUCCUACUUGGGAGUAUAGCUUAGUAGGUAUAUAAGGAUAUUGAGAAACAACCUCCUGUAUUAUAUUAUAUCAUUAUUAUUAUCAUUAUCCUCAUUAUAUUCAUUACAUUUCAAAUGUAUAUAUUGUUCUUGUUUUGUGUUGUAUUAUUGUUUUUGAUGUGAUAUCUAUCUAUGCAUACAGUUUUCCAUACUUGUAUAUGUGAUAUUUGCAUACUGUAAUUUCCUUAUUAUAUUUGUGUGUGGUAUAUGUGAAUAUUAUAGAACUAUUAGUGGAGAUAGUGUGGUCUACCGUUUGGGACAUUUUCUGAUUGUAGGUUAUGUGCCCUUAGUGUGUAUUUUGUAUGCUUAUUUUCACUUUUCUCAGUUGUCCUAUGAUACCUACUGAGUACAAGUGGACCGUACUCACCCCUAAUGUAGGCUUUUAGUGU
RNAcentral lists this long non-coding RNA (790 nucleotides) under Capsicum annuum. RNAcentral describes it as "long non-coding RNA (CANN_LNC010115)". The record is from RNAcentral. Lineage: Eukaryota; Viridiplantae; Streptophyta; Magnoliopsida; Solanales; Solanaceae.